AACCUACAACUUUUACCGAUUCGAGUCCAAAUGAAGGUUCUUGUCAAAGUCAGCUAACUAUGGAAUUCUCCGAGCCUGAAAUGUGAGGAAAUGAGGGUGGUGAGAUUAGAAAAUCCCAGUGAGUAAACAAAUACCAUCUAAACUAUCUAAAGUCGAGUAAAUGGAGACAAUUAAAAUAAAUCAUCAUACUGUAAUUUCAUUACCUUUCAACUCAUUUCAACCAAAUAAAAUCAAUCCAUAAAAAUCGAGUAAUCAACUUGGCUUAUGAAUUUCUUAAAACUUUGGCUCGUGCCAAAACUCAUACUCGGUGAUACCUUGUGCAGGGCAUCUAACCGAGUCCGCCAAGGCUGUUAAAAUUUUGUGUACACUUAAAAUAUAUUUUUGUUUGAAAAAAAUACAGCCGUUCCUUGGCGUUGGCUGAGUUCCCCUCCACGUGGUGGUUUGGCGUGAAGUGAACCCUAAGCUUUACCCCAGGAGAUACCCUACGCGCUUCUCCAUUCGAGGUAAUAAUAUAAUGGAGUUUACCGUGCCCCUCUAAUAGGCUGGUCCACGGAACCCCCUCUGCAGUAAAUAAUUAAUAUAUAAUCCACCAAUCAAUAAAAUUCAUUCUAGCAUGACAUGGCAAUUUAUUGCAACCUAGCCUCUCAAGGCUGAAUACACAUUAUAAAUAAUUCUAACACCAAAAUCAGUUUAGCCAUUCAUGCUCAUUUAUUAUCAUAAGCCAUUCAAUUCAAAACCAUAAAUUUGCAACACAAACUAGCAGUCUCCAAUUACUCUAUUUUCAAAACCAAUAUUCGAUUUUCCAGAAAAUUUAUAAAAUCAUUUUAUAAAAUCACAAUUUCUCUUAAAACAUAGCAAUUUACCAUUUAAACCCAUUUUUCAUAAAAUCACACAGUUGUAUAAAACUACUCUAGAUAAUUAAGACGAUAAUAAGUUCACUCAC
This 943-nucleotide long non-coding RNA is filed under the name Theobroma cacao (cacao). RNAcentral's name for it is "long non-coding RNA (TCAC_LNC003102)". Lineage: Eukaryota; Viridiplantae; Streptophyta; Magnoliopsida; Malvales; Malvaceae. The record is from RNAcentral.